This 505-nucleotide ribosomal RNA is filed under the name uncultured bacterium. RNAcentral's name for it is "partial 16S ribosomal RNA". It matches the Rfam family "Bacterial small subunit ribosomal RNA", at positions 28 to 507 of the family's 1533-position model. The record is from RNAcentral.
GACGAACGCUGGCGGCGUGCCUAAUACAUGCAAGUAGAACGCACAGUUUAUACCGUAGCUUGCUACACCAUAAACUGUGAGUUGCGAACGGGUGAGUAACGCGUAGGUAACCUGCCUGGUAGCGGGGGAGAACUAUUGGAAACGAUAGCUAAUACCGCAUAAUAUUGAUUAUUGCAUGAUAAUUGAUUGAAAGAUGCUAUUGCAUCACUACCAGAUGGACCUGCGUUGUAUUAGCUAGUAGGUGAGGUAACGGCUCACCUAGGCGACGAUACAUAGCCGACCUGAGAGGGUGGUCGGCCACACUGGGACUGAGACACGGCCCAGACUCCUACGGGAGGCAGCCGUAGGGAAUCUUCGGCAAUGGGCGGAAGACUGACCGAGCAACGCCGCGUGAGUGAAGAAGGUUUUCGGAUCGUAAAGCUCUGUUGUAAGGGAAGAACGGGUGUGAGAGUGGAAAGUUCACACUGUGACGGUAUCUUACCAGAAAGGGACGGCUAACUACGUG